AGCGAACGCUGGCGGCAGGCCUAACACAUGCAAGUCGAACGGAUCCUUCGGGAUUAGUGGCGGACGGGUGAGUAACACGUGGGAACGUGCCCUUUGGUUCGGAACAACUCAGGGAAACUUGAGCUAAUACCGGGAUAAGCCCUUCGGGGGAAGGAUUAUCGCCAUUGGAGCGGCCCGCGUCUGAUUAGCUAGUUGGUGAGGUAAAGGCUCACCAACGGCUACGAUCAGUAGCUGGUCUGAGAGGAUGAUCAGCCACAUUGGGAC
This 264-nucleotide ribosomal RNA is filed under the name uncultured bacterium. RNAcentral's name for it is "partial 16S ribosomal RNA". It matches the Rfam family "Bacterial small subunit ribosomal RNA", at positions 29 to 319 of the family's 1533-position model. The record is from RNAcentral.